CCUACGGGUGGCAGCAGUAGGGAAUAUUGCUCAAUGGAGGCAACCCUGAAGCAGCAACGCCGCGUGGAGGAUGAAGGUUUUCGGAGUUGUAAAUCGUUUUGUUAGAGAAGAUAAUGACGGUAUCUAACGAAUAAGCACAGGCUAACUCGGUGCCAGCAGCCGCGGUAAUACGGAGGGUGCAAGCGUUACUCGGAGUCACUGGGCGUAAAGAGCGCGUAGGCGGGAUAGCAGGUCAGAGGUGAAAUCCUAUGGCUUAACCAUAGAACUGCAUUUGAAACUGUUAUUCUAGAGUAUGGGAGAGGUAGGCGGAAUUCUUGGUGUAGGGGUAAAAUCCGUAGAGAUCAAGAGGAAUACUCAUUGCGAAGGCGACCUGCUAGAACAUAACUGACGUUGAUGCGCGAAAGCGUGGGGAGCAAACAGGAUUAGAUACCCGAGUAGUC
RNAcentral lists this ribosomal RNA (440 nucleotides) under uncultured bacterium. RNAcentral describes it as "partial 16S ribosomal RNA". It matches the Rfam family "Bacterial small subunit ribosomal RNA", at positions 338 to 795 of the family's 1533-position model. The record is from RNAcentral.